GGGACGUGUUAAAUGGAUUCAGUCCAACCAUAGGGAAACCAGCAGCCAUCCCACUGCUGGGGAUUUCACUGUAGUCACAAACCCUUUAGGAAGGAUGCCAUGCUGGAUGUCUCCACUUUCGUUGCAAUAAAUCUGGAAAAGACAUUGCUGUAACAAAGCAGGCAGCUGGGUCUGAAUGGCUGUCACCCCCCCACAAGCCAAGGUCAUUCUAAAAGUCUCCAGUGGCAGAUGGGCAAAAGCAGCUCUUCCUGCUUCAAAGGCACGGGAUGCUGCCGUGGAACCAGUUUUUUCUUCUGCAGGUCUUCUUGUCACCGAGCAGGAAGGAAAAGCUGCAAACAAAGGCAACUUCAGCGAUUUUGGAACAUGAAGAAUAAUGUCCUUCACUGCUGCCAAGGCAGGGCUCAGUGCAAAGAGCUGAACGGCACUGAUUCCUACAGUCAAGGACUUAUGCCCCUCUUGUUCCUUUGCAAGAUAAGCUGUUCCCAACUGGAUAUUAACUCUUCCUGCAAACGCAGUGUCAAAACAAUGGCAAUACACUACCAAGGUCCAGCAUUUUCCUUAAGAAACUGUGAAGCACCAAGGAGAGCUUCGUUGCAGAAGAAGCAAUGCAGACAUAUAAUGCAACAAGAUGUGAACACUGAUGGGAACAGCCCAUGGCUUCGAUGUUGGUCGCAGAUGCACAGGGCUGAGGACAUAGGGCUGAGGCCACCUCAGAGGGUCCUGCUGUUGCAGGUUCACUCCCAGCAUCUUGCAGUUGUGGUGGAAUCAGGAAUGCACAGAGAAGGUCACUGAAGGGUAACUUAAGUGCCAUGGACCUGAACAUGGAGACUUUGGCGCAAAAGAGGGGAGCCAUUCCUGCUCAUUUGCUGCCACUGAUACAUCCAAGAGACAAGGAGCUGUAAAGAGCACAGGAAUAAAGAGCAGGAGUGGAUGUCAAGAGAAAGGCAAGUAGGUGGCACGGAAGAUGGGAAGCAAAGAAAAAAAAUGCCUGGAUAACGUGGUACUAGAUCUUAAAUGCUGCUCAGUAGGCCUGAAUAGGAUCCUUUU
Lagopus leucura (white-tailed ptarmigan) is the source of this 1047-nucleotide long non-coding RNA. RefSeq lists it as uncharacterized. The transcript has 3 exons. Lineage: Eukaryota; Metazoa; Chordata; Aves; Galliformes; Phasianidae. The record is from RefSeq and is a predicted model, not a curated record.